CCUACGGGAGGCAGCAGUGGGGGAUAUUGCACAAUGGGGGGAACCCUGAUGCAGCGACGCCGCGUGGGUGAAGGAGUGCUUCGGCAUGUAAAGCCCUAUCGGCAGGGAAGAAGCAAGACGGUACCUGACUAAGAAGCCCCGGCUAACUACGUGCCAGCAGACGCGGUAAUACGUAGGGGGCGAGCGUUAUCCGGAUUCACUGGGGGGAAAGGGAGCGUAGACGGCGAUGCAAGCCAGGGGUGGAAGCCCGGGGCCCAACCCCGGGACUGUCCUUGGAACUGCAUGGCUGGAGUGCGGGAGGGGCAGGCGGAAUUCCUGGUGUAGCGGUGAAAUGCGGAGAUAUCAGGAGGAACACCGGCGGCGAAGGCGGCCUGCUGGACCGCGACUGACGUUGAGGCUCGAAAGCGUGGGGAGCGAACAGGAUUAGAUACCCGGGUAGUC
This 441-nucleotide ribosomal RNA is filed under the name uncultured bacterium. RNAcentral describes it as "partial 16S ribosomal RNA". It matches the Rfam family "Bacterial small subunit ribosomal RNA", at positions 338 to 795 of the family's 1533-position model. The record is from RNAcentral.